GCCGAAAUAGGUCAGAUGGGAGAGCGUCAGACUGAAGAUCUGAAGGUCCCUGGUUCAACCCCCGGGUUUCGGCA
Molecule: non-coding RNA, 74 nt
Organism: Paramuricea clavata
Lineage: Eukaryota; Metazoa; Cnidaria; Anthozoa; Malacalcyonacea; Plexauridae
Source: the annotation of a GenBank genome assembly